UUGAUCGCCUGCGCUUUUCUUAGAGUGUCUGAUAAAAGUAAUGGGUGGUUGGGUUGGACUGAAUCAGUCCUCCCUCCCUUUGCCGUUUCCUCACAUUUGGGUGGCUUUUGAAAACUUGAUCCAAACAAAAAUGUAAUAAUUGAUGUUUGGUGGAGGCUCUGAAACGGGGAGAUGCUUGGCUUCGGUUCUAAGUGCCUGGUCGUGCUGAAUUACUCUCCACUGCAUCUUAAAGAAAGCACUCCAUCACAUUUUUUCAAGUCCUGGCAUGACACAUUCUCCUCAUCUGUGUUUGUUCAACCCAAGAUGUGCUGGCAGAUGCACCGAUACAGCUCCGAAACGAGGGAAAAGAGCCAUCUCCCUCCUUUAUUGCCCUGCCAUUCCGGCUUCUCAACACAUGAAGUGCAUGUUCUACCGCAACCAUUGCUCUGACUCGGCAGAGCUGAGUUGACCAUUGUCAUUUCCCAACCCGUGUCCGAGGGCCCAUGAAAAGCCUGUGAGGUCUGGGUAAUAACCUUCAGAAUGGCUGUGAUUGCACUUCCAUUCUCCACAGAGACCCAAGGCCAUAACCAUCAAAACGGGCUAGCGAAUGGGAGUGAAUGGCGAUGAAGAUGGGGGUUUGUUCCAAGAGGGGAGAUUAAAGAAUAUAGCUAAGGGGUUUAUGUGUACGUGUGAAUGGUUGUGAGGUCUUAGCUCUAUUUGGACCCUGGUGGUGGUACCUGACGCCAUUAGUGACUGUUUCUCUGAGGCUGGGAUUAGCCGCCCUGUGUGGAAACUGCUGACAGGUGCAAGGAGAAAGGAAAUAGGAAAAGAUUGAAAAAAAGUAGAUAGAGAGUGAGAGAUCUAAUCCUAAUGGACCAGCACAGAUUCUGAACUCAUCUAAUAUCGUAAAAGAAAGUAAACAUUAAAUGGGCUAUAGCUCCCACCCGGACCAACUAACAGGAGCCACAGCCCAAUACUGAUAACUCCUGACCUUGACAGAAACCAGACACAAGCUCUCUUAAAGGACCUGCACUGUCACAUCUCAAGCACUUUUAAAUCAAUGAGAGCAGCUAAUAAUAUUAAAACACUGCUAUAAAGUGUUUUAAACAUUGUUUUGCCUGCUUGUUUGUUGCCCCUAGAGGGCAAUGAAGGCAUUAGAUAUUAAACUACAUUGUCAAAAAUCGAAUGCAGAGGGAAUUUACUUAUUAUUAUGGCUUCAAGUCAUCCCAUAAGCCUUGUGUUGUCUUAGAUGAGAAAAGCACACGCAAUGCCUAAAGGUUUUCUUGUAUAAAAAAAGUUUGGAGACUCUUGACCUUGCGAAGGUUACAUGCUGUAAUUUGCAGUCGAAUGGUUGUCAUUUGUCUGGAUAUGGCUCAUGUAGUUGGUUGGUGUAUUAUUUCUAGCCUGGGAGAGAAGGCUACUGAUCGGUGCUUUAUUGUAGUGUGUGACUAAGUGGGUGGGUUGAGACUCAGACUGCACAGUUAAUGGGUUUAUAGAAUCUUAUGUUCCAUGGCCAAAUCUCUCGUUACUAGAUGAGUGCAUUGGCACAGCAAUAGCCUGAAAGCAAAUAAAUCUGGGUAUUAUUUUAGCAAUUAAAUUGCUAGUUUAAUUGUACUAUAUGCAUAUUAUGUGUAAUAGUUUUAUUUUUGUUUUCUGGAUUUUAUUUUGGUGUAGACAAGUUGUAAUUUCAAUUCCGUCCUCUCAGUGGCGCUGUAACACAACACAUUCAAUCUUUUAAACAGCUAAAGACCUUAAUCAUUCCUUGUGCAUUAAUAUAAUGUUUUUCUGUAAUUCACUAUUUAGUUGCAUAGUAUGUUACUUCUCACACCAACUGAUAAAAAACAAUAAAUGCUAAUUGAUAUUAGUCCACUGUUUGUGUUGCCAAUAAAUCUGGUUUUGACAAUAUGAACUUGGCAAAGUACAUGGAAUCAGCAUGGAGUUAAUGCUCUCCCUGCUGUUAUUGUUUUUUCCACAAAUAUUGAAGCCUGUGAAAUAAACUGUGAUAAUGUA
Long non-coding RNA from Pimephales promelas (fathead minnow), 1989 nucleotides. RefSeq lists it as uncharacterized. NCBI's taxonomy places the organism in Eukaryota, Metazoa, Chordata, Actinopteri, Cypriniformes, Leuciscidae. The record is from RefSeq and is a predicted model, not a curated record.